GUGGGCGGCCGCUGCGUCUCCUGCCGCCGCCCUCCCUCCGCCACGAUGCCGGGGAUCGACAAGCUGCCCAUCGAGGAGACGCUGGAGGACAGCCCGCAGACAAGGUCUUUACUAGGUGUAUUUGAAGAAGAUGCCACAGCUAUUUCCAACUAUAUGAACCAGUUGUAUCAAGCUAUGCAUCGGAUUUAUGAUGCACAGAAUGAAUUAAGUGCAGCAACACACCUGACCUCAAAACUUUUAAAAGAAUAUGAAAAACAGCGUUUUCCAUUGGGAGGUGAUGAUGAAGUUAUGAGCUCUACAUUGCAACAGUUUUCAAAAGUUAUAGAUGAGGUAAACGUUUAUUUGAUUUUGCUUGAUUAAAUCGUCUUAUGAUUAAGUUACCCAGUUGCUUAGCUUUUAUUUUAUGAAUAAAGCUCUAU
Molecule: small RNA, 419 nt
Filed under: Pongo abelii (Sumatran orangutan)
Lineage: Eukaryota; Metazoa; Chordata; Mammalia; Primates; Hominidae
Description: retained intron
Source: RNAcentral